This is a long non-coding RNA of Octopus sinensis (East Asian common octopus), 105 nucleotides long. RefSeq lists it as uncharacterized. The record is from RefSeq and is a predicted model, not a curated record. The transcript has 3 exons. NCBI's taxonomy places the organism in Eukaryota, Metazoa, Mollusca, Cephalopoda, Octopoda, Octopodidae.
CCACAAAAAUUUGUUGUUAUGACGGCAAGUUGUAAGAUGUGAAAGAUGGACAAUGCAUGAAGUUUUAAGAAAGUAUUUAUUUACUGUUACUUUGAGAAAUUCGAC